UAGUCUCGCACAGAUGCAUAUCAAUAAGCGGAGGAAAAGAAACUAACAAGGAUUCCCUUAGUAACGGCGAGUGAAGCGGGAAGAGCUCAAAUUUGAAAUCUUCAAGGUUUUACCUUGACGAAUUGUAGUUUAAAGAAGUGUUUUCUGUUGAAGUUUUGGUAAAAGUUCUUUGGAAUAGGACAUCAUAGAGGGUGAGAAUCCCGUAUUUGACCAUUAUUUUCAGCUGUGUGAUACACUUUCAAAGAGUCGGAUUGUUUGGGAAUGCAGUCCAAAAUGGGUGGUAAAUUUCAUCUAAAGCUAAAUAUUGGCGAGAGACCGAUAGCGAACAAGUACCGUGAGGGAAAGAUGAAAAGAACUUUGAAGAGAGUUAAACAGUACGUGAAAUUGUCAAAAGGGAAGCGUUUGACACCAGUGUUGUUUUCUCGAAAAUCAAUUAAAAAGAGUUAGAUUUUGUUGUGUAUUGACCUUAACAGCUUGCAUUUCAAUUUUCUUGCUUUUUUUAAUGCACUUUUCGUUUAACAAGUCAACAUCAGUUUCUUUUGUUGUAAAAAGGUCAUUGGAAGGUGGCUUUCUUUUCGGAGAAAGUGUUUAUAGCCUUUGACUCCUGCAAUCGGAGAGACUGAGGUCUGCAGCGUAGAUCCUUCGGGGUUAGAUACAUUUGUGCUAAGUUAUAGCUUUUUAUAGACAACUUGUUGACUAUGAUUAGUCUUGUAGCUUACUCGCUUAUGCUAUUUUACCUACGCUUAGGAUGUUGAAGAUGUAGCACAUCAU
Molecule: ribosomal RNA, 771 nt
Filed under: uncultured Neocallimastigales
Lineage: Eukaryota; Fungi; Neocallimastigomycota; Neocallimastigomycetes; Neocallimastigales
Description: partial large subunit ribosomal RNA
Rfam family: Eukaryotic large subunit ribosomal RNA
Source: RNAcentral